AGUGAACGCUGGCGGUAGGCCUAACACAUGCAAGUCGAACGGCAGCACAGUAAGAGCUUGCUCUUACGGGUGGCGAGUGGCGGACGAGUGAGGAAUACAUCGGAAUCUACUUUUUCGUGGGGGAUAACGUAGGGAAACUUACGCUAAUACCGCAUACGACCUACGGGUGAAAGCAGGGGAUCUUCGGACCUUGCGCGAUUGAAUGAGCCGAUGUCGGAUUAGCUAGUUGGCGGGGUAAAGGCCCACCAAGGCGACGAUCCGUAGCUGGUCUGAGAGGAUGAUCAGCCACACUGGAACUGAGACACGGCCCAGACUCCUACAGGAGGCAGCAGUGGGGAAUAUUGGACAAUGGGCGCAAGCCUGAUCCAGCCAUACCGCGUGGGUGAAGAAGGCCUUCGGGUUGUAAAGCCCUUUUGUUGGGAAAGAAAAGCAGCAGGUUAAUACCCCGCUGUUCUGACGGUACCCGAAGAAUAAGCACCGGCUAACUUCGUG
Molecule: ribosomal RNA, 492 nt
Filed under: uncultured bacterium
Lineage: Bacteria
Description: partial 16S ribosomal RNA
Rfam family: Bacterial small subunit ribosomal RNA
Source: RNAcentral